CACUUCUUAUCCCGCAGAGGAGUGCACCAAUGCAGUGGCUUUCGGACGACAUGGCAAGAUACCAGAGGGGAAGCAGCUGCUUGACCAAAGCAAAGUUGAUGGAAUUCUGACCUAUGUGAGGCGGUGCGCAACGAUGGAGAACUGGAAACCAGUAGAGGAGGCCAAGCUUAAAAAGGCCCUCAUAAAUAAAUGCUGUCACAGGUCAGUACAGUGACUGGCUUUACAGGCAUAAUGUUUACAACAGCCCCUUGUUCACCAGUGUGCCCUCUUGUUCAGCAAUUGUGAAUUUUUUCACCGUUUAUUGACAUGUUGUUACACCAGUGGUUGUCAAUUGGGAUAAUGUGAUUGCUGUCACUUUUACAAUGUAUGGCCUGGUUCACUCUUGUAAAAUGGUAUGCACACUGGUAUGCGUGUUGAAUUAAUGCAAAAUAAAUGAUGCUGCAGUUCA
Cyprinodon tularosa is the source of this 448-nucleotide long non-coding RNA. RefSeq lists it as uncharacterized. The transcript is spliced from 2 exons. NCBI's taxonomy places the organism in Eukaryota, Metazoa, Chordata, Actinopteri, Cyprinodontiformes, Cyprinodontidae. The record is from RefSeq and is a predicted model, not a curated record.